Molecule: long non-coding RNA, 752 nt
Organism: Dioscorea cayenensis subsp. rotundata (Guinea yam)
Lineage: Eukaryota; Viridiplantae; Streptophyta; Magnoliopsida; Dioscoreales; Dioscoreaceae
Exons: 3
Source: RefSeq, a predicted model, not a curated record
GAUUGCAGUGGUUGUCAUGUUUUGAGAGAGGUUUUUCAUACAAAUGGUAAGAGUGAAUGUGGUUGAGUGCUUUCUUGAUUUGAUGAUUGAUUAAAAUAAUGUAGGAAAAGUAAAAGAUUGAAUUCACUUGUGAUGAUAAGUUUUGGAUUUUAUAUUUGGUAGGAGAGAAGAGUAUGAAGCUUGUAAUCCAUGGAGGAAUUGGUGUUUUCUAUCAUGCUGUGCUUGAAGUUUUUUUAACACUGAUGGGCUUCCGCCGGUUAUGGAGAAAUCAUUCUUCGAUUUUAGUACAGAAACUUUCGAUGGAGUGAAGCAAUUUCUUGUUGACUAUGGUCAGUUAAAGGUGCUUGAUAGAUACAUAAUCAUUCAUGAUUCAAUAUCCAGUUUCUAUGACGUCCUCUGUACAAAAAUGAGCCACAAUGACAUUGGUAGCACCCAAGGUGUUGAACUGCAGAUGCCCCAACCAGGUGCUAGAGUUCAGCUGGUUUUGUUGAUUGCUAAUUUUGAUUGCUUUUCAAUGUCUUUACAAGUUUCUGUGCUUGAUACAUGCUGUAGAUUUACGUCAACCAAUGACAGAAGAAAUGCACGUCUCCGGGAAUCCAAUACGAAAUCCAAAGACUAGAAUUGCCGCACAGAGAGAGAGAACUGGAAAGCUGCAACUAAGUGAUUUAGCCCAGUUUUUUCACCUUCCUAUGACAGAGGCUUCUAAACAACUAAAACUAUGCUCUACAGCAAUCAAGAAGAUAUGUCGAAAA